This 67-nucleotide transfer RNA is filed under the name Setophaga magnolia (Magnolia warbler). RNAcentral describes it as "tRNA-Cys". The record is from RNAcentral. Lineage: Eukaryota; Metazoa; Chordata; Aves; Passeriformes; Parulidae.
GGCUCUGUAGUGAAGUUCAUAGUGAGUUGCAAGCUCAUUGAUGUGCAUUAAGUAUGUACCGGAGCCU